RNAcentral lists this ribosomal RNA (497 nucleotides) under uncultured bacterium. Its description in RNAcentral is "bacterial SSU rRNA". It matches the Rfam family "Bacterial small subunit ribosomal RNA", at positions 15 to 507 of the family's 1533-position model. The record is from RNAcentral.
GAUCAUGGCUCAGAUUGAACGCUGGCGGCAGGCCUAACACAUGCAAGUCGAGCGGUAACAGAGAGUAGUUUACUAUUCUGCUGACGAGCGGCGGACGGGUGAGUAAUGCCUAGGAAUCUGCCUAGUAGUGGGGGAUAACUUGCCGAAAGGUAAGCUAAUACCGCAUACGUCCUACGGGAGAAAGGAGGGGACCUUCGGGCCUUUCGCUAUUAGAUGAGCCUAGGUCGGAUUAGUUAGUUGGUGAGGUAAUGGCUCACCAAGACCGCGAUCCGUAACUGGUCUGAGAGGAUGAUCAGUCACACUGGAACUGAGACACGGUCCAGACUCCUACGGGAGGCAGCAGUAGGGAAUAUUGGGCAAUGGUCGGAAGACUGACCCAGCCAUGCCGCGUGAAGGAUGAAGGGUCUACGACUUGUAAACUUCUUUAGCUAGGGAAGAAAAAGAGAGUGCGCUCUUUAUUGACGGUACCUAGAGAAUAAGCACCGGCUAACUACGUG